This 229-nucleotide ribosomal RNA is filed under the name uncultured bacterium. RNAcentral's name for it is "partial 16S ribosomal RNA". It matches the Rfam family "Bacterial small subunit ribosomal RNA", at positions 118 to 347 of the family's 1533-position model. The record is from RNAcentral.
UGAGCAACCUACCCUCAGCUUCGGGAUAAGCCUCGGAAGCGGGGUCUAAUACCGGAUAUCACUUCGAAUCUCAUGGUUCGGGGUUGAAAGUUCUGGCGGUUGGGGGAUGGGCUCGCGGCCUAUCAGCUUGUUGGUGGGGUAAUGGCCUACCAAGGCGUCGACGGGUAGCCGGCCUGAGAGGGCGACCGGCCACACUGGGACUGAGACACGGCCCAGACUCCUACGGGAG